AUACGGAGGACGCGAGCGUUAUCCGGAUUCAUUGGGUUUAAAGGGUGCGCAGGCGGCCGUGCAAGUCAGCGGUGAAAGCCCGGGGCCCAACCCCGGAAGUGCCGUUGAUACUGCAUGGCUUGAAUGCGGUCGAGGCGGGCGGAACGUGGCGUGUAGCGGGGAAAUGCUGAGAUAUUCCACAGAAAGCCGAUAGCGGAGGCGGCUCGCCAGGCCUGCAUUGACGCUCGGGCACGAAAGCGUGGGGAUCGAACAGGAUUAGAUACCCUGGUAGGCCACGCCGUAAACGAUGGGCGCUCGUCGUCGGCGGCAGACAGUCGGCGGCCAAGCGAAAGCGAUAAGCGCCCCACCUGGGGAGUACGGUCGCAAGGCUGAAACUCAAAUGAAUUGACGGGG
RNAcentral lists this ribosomal RNA (393 nucleotides) under uncultured bacterium. Its description in RNAcentral is "partial 16S ribosomal RNA". It matches the Rfam family "Bacterial small subunit ribosomal RNA", at positions 523 to 918 of the family's 1533-position model. The record is from RNAcentral.